UACGCAAGUCUGACGGAGCAACGCCGCGUGAGCGAAGAAGGUCUUCGGAUCGUAAAGCUCUGUUAUUAGGGAAGAACAAGUACCGUUUGAAUAAGGCGGUACCUUGACGGUACCUAACGAGAAAGCCACGGCUAACUACGUGCCAGCAGCCGCGGUAAUA
This 160-nucleotide ribosomal RNA is filed under the name uncultured bacterium. RNAcentral's name for it is "partial 16S ribosomal RNA". It matches the Rfam family "Bacterial small subunit ribosomal RNA", at positions 374 to 525 of the family's 1533-position model. The record is from RNAcentral.